Molecule: ribosomal RNA, 425 nt
Filed under: uncultured bacterium
Lineage: Bacteria
Description: bacterial SSU rRNA
Rfam family: Bacterial small subunit ribosomal RNA
Source: RNAcentral
AGGGAAUCUUCCGCAAUGGACGAAAGUCUGACGGAGCAACGCCGCGUGAGUGAUGAAGGUUUUCGGAUCGUAAAACUCUGUUGUUAGGGAAGAACAAGUACAAGAGUAACUGCUUGUACCUUGACGGUACCUAACCAGAAAGCCCCGGCUAACUACGUGCCAGCAGCCGCGGUAAUACGUAGGGGGCAAGCGUUGUCCGGAAUUAUUGGGCGUAAAGCGCGCGCAGGCGGUCCUUUAAGUCUGAUGUGAAAGCCCACGGCUUAACCGUGGAGGGUCAUUGGAAACUGGAGGACUUGAGUACAGAAGAGGAGAGUGGAAUUCCACGUGUAGCGGUGAAAUGCGUAGAGAUGUGGAGGAACACCAGUGGCGAAGGCGACUCUCUGGUCUGUAACUGACGCUGAGGCGCGAAAGCGUGGGGAGCGAAC